Molecule: ribosomal RNA, 761 nt
Filed under: Prevotella melaninogenica
Lineage: Bacteria; Pseudomonadati; Bacteroidota; Bacteroidia; Bacteroidales; Prevotellaceae
Description: bacterial SSU rRNA
Rfam family: Bacterial small subunit ribosomal RNA
Source: RNAcentral
GAUGAACGCUAGCUACAGGCUUAACACAUGCAAGUCGAGGGGAAACGGCAUUAAGUGCUUGCACUUUUUGGACGUCGACCGGCGCACGGGUGAGUAACGCGUAUCCAACCUUCCCAUGACUAAGGGAUAACCUGCCGAAAGGCAGACUAAUACCUUAUGGUCUUCACUGACGGCAUCAGAUGUGAAGUAAAGAUUUAUCGGUUAUGGAUGGGGAUGCGUCUGAUUAGCUUGUUGGCGGGGUAACGGCCCACCAAGGCAACGAUCAGUAGGGGUUCUGAGAGGAAGGUCCCCCACAUUGGAACUGAGACACGGUCCAAACUCCUACGGGAGGCAGCAGUGAGGAAUAUUGGUCAAUGGGCGAGAGCCUGAACCAGCCAAGUAGCGUGCAGGAUGACGGCCCUAUGGGUUGUAAACUGCUUUUGUAUGGGGAUAAAGUCAAUCACGUGUGAUUGUUUGCAGGUACCAUACGAAUAAGGACCGGCUAAUUCCGUGCCAGCAGCCGCGGUAAUACGGAAGGUCCGGGCGUUAUCCGGAUUUAUUGGGUUUAAAGGGAGCGUAGGCUGGAGAUUAAGUGUGUUGUGAAAUGUAGACGCUCAACGUCUGACUUGCAGCGCAUACUGGUUUCCUUGAGUACGCACAACGUUGGCGGAAUUCGUCGUGUAGCGGUGAAAUGCUUAGAUAUGACGAAGAACUCCGAUUGCGAAGGCAGCUGACGGGAGCGCAACUGACGCUGAAGCUCGAAGGUGCGGGUAUCGAACAGG